AGACUAUUGAUGGUGUGGAUAAUACCAAAGAAGAGCCUUGAAUCGCUCCCAAGCAUGAUAAAGAUUCUCAGCUGGCUUCUAUUUGAAAUAUACUAUCUCAUUGCGAAGUCU
Capsicum annuum is the source of this 111-nucleotide non-coding RNA. The record is from Rfam. Lineage: Eukaryota; Viridiplantae; Streptophyta; Magnoliopsida; Solanales; Solanaceae.